GACGAACGCUGGCGGCGUGCUUAACACAUGCAAGUCGAACGGAAAGGCCCUGCUUUUGUGGGGUGCUCGAGUGGCGAACGGGUGGGUAACACGUGAGUAACCUGCCCUUGACUUUGGGAUAACUUCAGGAAACUGGGGCUAAUACCGGAUAGGAGCUCCUGCUGCAUGGUGGGGGUUGGAAAGUUUCGGCGGUUGGGGAUGGACUCGCGGCUUAUCAGCUUGUUGGUGGGGUAGUGGCUUACCAAGGCUUUGACGGGUAGCCGGCCUGAGAGGGUGACCGGCCACAUUGGGACUGAGAUACGGCCCAGACUCCUACGGGAGGCAGCAGUGGGGAAUAUUGCACAAUGGGCGGAAGCCUGAUGCAGCAACGCCGCGUGCGGGAUGACGGCCUUCGGGUUGUAAACCGCUUUCGCCUGUGACGAAGCGUGAGUGACGGUAAUGGGUAAAGAAGCGCCGGCUAACUACGUGCCAGCAGCCGCGGUGAUACGUAGGGUGCGAGCGUUGUCCGGAUUUAUUGGGCGUAAAGGGCUCGUAGGUGGUUGAUCGCGUCGGAAGUGUAAUCUUGGGGCUUAACCCUGAGCGUGCUUUCGAUACGGGUUGACUUGAGGAAGGUAGGGGAGAAUGGAAUUCCUGGUGGAGCGGUGGAAUGCGCAGAUAUCAGGAGGAACACCAGUGGCGAAGGCGGUUCUCUGGGCCUUUCCUGACGCUGAGGAGCGAAAGCGUGGGGAGCGAACAGGCUUAGAUACCCUGGUAGUCCACGCUGUAAACGGUGGGUACUAGGUGUGGGGUCCAUUCCACGGGUUCCGUGCCGUAGCUAACGCUUUAAGUACCCCGCCUGGGGAGUACGGCCGCAAGGCUAAAACUCAAAGGAAUUGACGGGGCCCCGCACAAGCGGCGGAGCAUGCGGAUUAAUUCGAUGCAACGCGUAGAACCUUACCUGGGUUUGACAUGGAUCGGGAGUGCUCAGAGAUGGGUGUGCCUCUUUUGGGGUCGGUUCACAGGUGGUGCAUGGCUGUCGUCAGCUCGUGUCGUGAGAUGUUGGGUUAAGUCCCGCAACGAGCGCAACCCUUGUUCACUGUUGCCAGCACGUUAUGGUGGGGACUCAGUGGAGACCGCCGGGGUCAACUCGGAGGAAGGUGGGGAUGACGUCAAGUCAUCAUGCCCCUUAUGUCCAGGGCUUCACGCAUGCUACAAUGGCUGGUACAGAGAGUGGCGAGCCUGUGAGGGUGAGCGAAUCUCGGAAAGCCGGUCUCAGUUCGGAUUGGGGUCUGCAACUCGACCUCAUGAAGUCGGAGUCGCUAGUAAUCGCAGAUCAGCAACGCUGCGGUGAAUACGUUCCCGGG
Molecule: ribosomal RNA, 1343 nt
Filed under: uncultured bacterium
Lineage: Bacteria
Description: 16S ribosomal RNA
Rfam family: Bacterial small subunit ribosomal RNA
Source: RNAcentral